CCUCUCGCUUGUGGCCCGCGAGCCCUCUGGCUAAUUUGUAUGUAAUAUUGUCAAACAACAAUGUCUGAUAAAGUCACACAUAUUAACAAAAGUGCGGCCCGCGUCAACUUCCUUAACUACUAUGUGGCCCUUGGCUACUAAAAGGUUGCCGACCGCUGGUCUAGUUAGACAGGUAGAGUUCUAACUGUUAGAACGUGACAAGCUGACCAGCAUGAUGACAGAUGAUGAAAAACCGACCAUCUUAGCCCUACAGUACGGAUAUGAUGGUCGUAUUUGUCUACGUGACAGCGUGAUAAAACGGUGUCUGUUCUACCCGCAGUGUUAAAAAGUGACAGUUGUUCUAUCACGUAGAUAAAUAUGGAUAAAGCGAUCCAUAAUAGGCUUGCAGAUCGGACAAUUGAAUCACAACUAAUCUUAACCUUAUAAAAUCAAUUUCGACUACUUCGAAACGAAAUAAGUGUUCCGUGAACAAAGUUUUGCACGGAACACUAAAAAUAUGGUCACCAAAGAAAAUUGCCCUAUUGUGGUCUGUACCAUUUUGUGAUCAAUGAAAUCGAGUAGGUAUUGACCAUACAACGAACAUGUCCUAAUAUAGUAACAUUGCCCGGUACGUCAUAUACGUGAGUGUAUCCAAGAGCAAUGAAAACGGACAACUUUGUUUAAUUUUUCUAUAUGAAGUGAGCCUUUUUCAUUCCGCUUAAAAGUGUAUAUAUGUACAGUGGAAUAUUUUACAUAUGUACAUAUGACUAAUUCAUUCAGUUUACGUGUAAAUAAACUCUGCAAUGUUAUGUUCAGAAGUAAUCAGUAUUGAAAUCUCAUUCAAUUGUUUACUUUAUAACACCUUGUUUUGACAUACAUUUUUUUAACUAAAUCACGCGGUUACCUCAUGCGCCGCAUUCAGAGACCGCGCCAGUGUGAUAACCCUUUCAUAUAUAUUUUAUCGCGACAGAUAUAAUAUAAAGUAAGAUUCUUAGUUCAGUAUACCAUAUAUGUACUUGCUAACUAUGUAAACAAAAGUCACUAGUUAAUUCAUCAUUCUAUGACAAUUUCAAUAUGGCGGUUUGUUUACAUAGUUAGCAAGUUCCAUAGAAUGACACUUUAUACAAACUGUAUAUAAACAACUGUGUAUUGCUGUUUGUACUGUACUACAUAAUUUUAAACCUUAAGCCAAUUUUGCUUAUUGCACCUUAUUGGUUCUAGACGUAGUAUCUUCUUAACAGUUUGUGCGUUCUAGCUCCCUAACGCCAUCUGUUAGAUUAUUAUGGCACGACGUUGGCAGUGACAGCUAGAGGAGACGCCACAUAACAUAGUUUCCCCUACAUACCAUCCACAAACCUUAAAAGAUAAAAAAUAGUUUAUUCAAGUAGGCAUAUUACAAUGCGCUUAUGAACGUCAAAUAAACCUUUACCGGCUCCAACCGUACACCUCUGCCCCGAGAAGAUUUAAAUCCCCCCCUCAAUUGGAGGAGGGUAUCCCAAUAUCCCAACUUAAGAUUCGAAUGGUGAUUACAUCAAAUGAAAUUGUAACUGUUAUAUUCCUUAAAUCAUGGAAUAUGUCGUCGGUGCUUAUAUAUUUACGUGUGUUUGCGACGUGAAUGAUAUUUGUGUCGAAUGGCAACUAAUAAGCAACUUCAUAAUACUAAAUAUUAACUGAAGAAUCUGACAAAAAUAGUAGUAUGUGUAGCAAGGCUCGGAACCGGGUUUUUCGUCGUACAAAUAAUACCGGUAUUAUUUCGUUCUUUGGUUUAUUAUUUCAUAAUGGGACAAUCUAAUAAUACGAUGUUGUUACCUAAAUACAUGAUUCAGUCCUAAGAGCAUAAAAUAAUUAAAUAUAUUGGGCUAUUUCGGGUUUUAAAAAAAACCGGUUCCGAGCCUUGGUGUGUAGGCUUCCAAAGUAACUUCUGUUUUGACUGUUACUCCUUAAGCCUAAUGGUUACUUAGUGGGUAACCGUUUAUAUGCUUAUUUACAGUUUUGAGAAAACAAUUUAUUGAACGAUUCCUUUUGAUCGUUGUCACUACUGCCAGAUUUAAAUCAAAUAUUCACUAGCAAAAACUUCAUAUUAUAUUAUAUACCGUCAGCCGAAGAGCAUGGCGAUAUUAUCAAUGAAUUCAUUCAUAAUACGCCAAAAAUAUGUUUAUACUUUUGCACCUUACGACUUUGUAAUAAGGCGAAAAAUGUAAACCAAUUUGUGACGUCGACUGUAUCUAUCAAAUUAAAUAAAACUUUGGUACGAUGUUACUGUCUAUUUCUAUCACAGUUGUUAAUCAGAAUAAAUAUUGUUUAAUACAAUUUGACCUUUUUAAUAUAGACAGAUAACGUAUAAGUAAAUAUUUACGCACAUAUUGUUUUAUACAUACUGUUGUUUAUAUUUUUAGAUUGGAGUUUUGACUAGUGAACCAUCAUGGAACUGUGUACAUUGUAUAACCAAAGAUAAUUGAAUGUAAUAGAGAGGUAGAGUCUAUAAAAUAAAACGUGCCUCUUAUUUUGACAUCAAAAAUAGAUGGCGCUGUACUGUAAAUGUCAAUUUUUGACAAUCUUAGUUACCGCAAAACGUAUGGACAUGUAUAGCGCCAUCUCGUUUACCUGUCAAAUUCGAAACACGAAAUUGUCUUAGAUUUUACGCAGAUCUUACUCAAUCAAUGUAUCUUUGGUAUAACUAUUGUUAUAUUUUAAAUUAUUAAAUGUACCGUGCAAAUGUGCGAGUGUUAGAUAUCCAAUUUUAGUGUAAGCGUUAUUUUAUACAAAGUUGUCAUUAAUAAAUGAUUAUUUUAGUAUAA
Molecule: long non-coding RNA, 2777 nt
Organism: Cydia fagiglandana
Lineage: Eukaryota; Metazoa; Arthropoda; Insecta; Lepidoptera; Tortricidae
Exons: 2
Source: RefSeq, a predicted model, not a curated record